Astyanax mexicanus (Mexican tetra) is the source of this 69-nucleotide microRNA precursor. It matches the Rfam family "miR-430 microRNA precursor family". Lineage: Eukaryota; Metazoa; Chordata; Actinopteri; Characiformes; Acestrorhamphidae. The record is from Rfam.
AUUUCUACUUUAACAAUAGUUCUGACCUUUGAGUAAAAUUGGUAAGUGCUGUUUGUUGGGGUAGUUUUA